GAGAGUGGAAGGAAGACCCCCGUGAUUAAUUUCAUGAGGAAAGUCCUCCCACCUCCGGGCAAAAGAAAAUCGAAAGGAUUUAGGUUGAGAAACCUGGCAAUGGCACAGAAACGACACGGCCUAUUCUGAGCUAUGAAACAAAUCAAAUUGUCGAGCUACGAAGAAUAGGAAACGUUGAAACGGCGAAACCUCUUUGGUGAAAGUCCAAACUGGGUUACGAGUAACCCGGCUUUAUCCCAGGUAGGACGCUAAGAUGAAUGUCUUCUCGAACAAAAGGAGGCUUACUCUCCACACUC
This 296-nucleotide RNase P RNA is filed under the name archaeon SCG-AAA382B04. Its description in RNAcentral is "Archaeal RNase P". It matches the Rfam family "Archaeal RNase P". Rfam says of the family: Ribonuclease P (RNase P) is a ubiquitous endoribonuclease, found in archaea, bacteria and eukarya as well as chloroplasts and mitochondria. Its best characterised activity is the generation of mature 5'-ends of tRNAs by cleaving the 5'-leader elements of precursor-tRNAs. Cellular RNase Ps are ribonucleoproteins. The record is from Rfam by way of RNAcentral.